Molecule: ribosomal RNA, 247 nt
Filed under: uncultured bacterium
Lineage: Bacteria
Description: partial 16S ribosomal RNA
Rfam family: Bacterial small subunit ribosomal RNA
Source: RNAcentral
AUACGGAGGGUGCAAGCGUUAUCCGGAUUCACUGGGUUUAAAGGGUGCGUAGGUGGAUAUUUAAGUCAGUGGUGAAAUCUCCGAGCUUAACUCGGAAACUGCCAUUGAUACUAUUUAUCUUGAAUGCCCUGGAGGUAAGCGGAAUAUGUCAUGUAGCGGUGAAAUGCUUAGAUAUGACAUAGAACACCAAUUGCGAAGGCAGCUUACUACGGGGUGAUUGACACUGAGGCACGAAAGCGUGGGGAUC